Molecule: long non-coding RNA, 534 nt
Organism: Podarcis raffonei (Aeolian wall lizard)
Lineage: Eukaryota; Metazoa; Chordata; Lepidosauria; Squamata; Lacertidae
Exons: 2
Source: RefSeq, a predicted model, not a curated record
CAACGCCAACGGAAAAAACAACAACCAAAAAGAGAGAGAGAGAAGGAAAUGAGCAUGGAGCCUGUGGCUGCUCCGGAGGGCCGGCCGGAGGUGAAAGGUGCAAAGGGGAACCACACCUUAACAGAGCGUUUGCUAAUAUGGAUAGUUCUUUCCUGUUACAGUGGUGUGAAGAAAAGGUGACUAUCUUACAACUUUGGUAGAGAGAAGUGUGCAGGAGUUAGCAAUGAAGUCCAGACUAUCCUGAAUUAGUUCUCCAACUGACAUAGGCCUGUUCCCAACAUUUGUUUACUGCACCCUUGUUGGUGCUUUGCUUUUUCACAGUGCAUGUGUGCCUUCAUCAAAAGCAUUUGGGUGGGGUCCGAAGCUACAUGUACCUGCUUUUUAGAGAUGACAAGGUUCUCCACAGGCUGGGGGGCUUUGAAGACCUGGAUCUCCUCAAUGAUGUGGACCAUGGAACCAAUGACCACAGCCUUGUGAAUCCAGCCAUUACCUGUUAAACGGGAGUAAACAUUAAAAAGGCAAUUUCCCACACAG